GAUGAAGAACGUAGCAAAAUGCGAUAAGUAAUGCGAAUUGCAGAAUUCAGUGAGUCAUCGAAUCUUUGAACGCACAUUGCGCCCUGUGGUAUUCCGCAGGGCAUGCCUGUUCGAGCGUCAUUUCAACCCUCAAGCUCUGCUUGGUGUUGGGCCCUGCCCGCUGCGGCCGGCCCUAAAGACAGUGGCGGUGCCGCCUGGCCCUGAGCGUAGUACAUCUCUCGCUCCAGUGCCCGGUGGUAGCCUGCCAGAACCCCAACUCUCGUGGUUGACCUCGGAUCAGGUAGGGAUACCCGCUGAACUUAAGCAUAUUAAUAAGCGGAGGA
RNAcentral lists this unclassified non-coding RNA (323 nucleotides) under soil metagenome. Its description in RNAcentral is "partial contains 5.8S ribosomal RNA, internal transcribed spacer 2, and large subunit ribosomal RNA". The stretch from base 1 to 120 matches the Rfam family "5.8S ribosomal RNA", at positions 35 to 154 of the family's 154-position model. The record is from RNAcentral.